UACAUUAAACAGCGGUUUUGAGAAAUCGGGAGGCGCAAAGCUCAAAGAGCCUAAAGCCUUAAAAGGGUUAUGGCAGUCAGCUGCCGAA
This 88-nucleotide non-coding RNA is filed under the name Candidatus Omnitrophota. RNAcentral's name for it is "Candidatus Omnitrophica c-di-GMP sequence". It matches the Rfam family "c-di-GMP-I riboswitch aptamer". From Rfam's summary of the family: GEMM was predicted in a large-scale screen for bacterial structured RNA regulatory elements. Genes associated with GEMM are involved in a diverse array of functions, including chemotaxis regulation, signal transduction, secretion and chitin. The record is from RNAcentral. Lineage: Bacteria; Pseudomonadati.